This 253-nucleotide ribosomal RNA is filed under the name uncultured bacterium. RNAcentral's name for it is "partial 16S ribosomal RNA". It matches the Rfam family "Bacterial small subunit ribosomal RNA", at positions 524 to 776 of the family's 1533-position model. The record is from RNAcentral.
GACGAACCGUGCGAACGUUGUUCGGAAUCACUGGGCUUAAAGGGCGCGUAGGCGGGCUCACAAGUCCGGGGUGAAAUCUCCCGGCUCAACUGGGAAACUGCAUCGGAAACUGAUCGGCUUGAAGGUGGGAGAGGGUAGUGGAAUUCCCGGUGUAGUGGUGAAAUGCGUAGAUAUCGGGAGGAACACCAGUGGCGAAGGCGACUACCUGGCCCACUCUUGACGCUGAGGCGCGAAAGCUAGGGGAGCGAACGGG